GAUCUCAGUUGACUGCAACUUAAAGUGGAUUCAACUGUGUUAUAUGGCAUCCACAAAAUCUACUAAGAUCUUAGGAUGCAUCUGUAGAUGAAUCGUGGCUAUUCUAGAAUGAAGGGUGUGGUAAGAUCACUCCAUGCUACACCAGGAAGAAUAUCCAGUAUUUUCAGACAUUUACAAAUUCAGGAGCAUGUAGGAUGGUGAGUGACUUUGAACAAAUAUAUCACGUCAGAAGGAGCUGAAACAACUGGGGAGGUUAAACCUAAAAAAAACAUUCUUGGUGAGAACAUAACUGUUGAAGGAUUAAAUGAGAUAGUAUAUGAGAUAGUACUUAGUGCAAUGCCUGGCACACGGGCUCAAUUAAUGUUAAUAAUAAAAGAAUGAUAAUUAGUAGUAUUAUCAGUAGUCAUACUAUUAUUAUUGUUACUAGCACUACUCCAGGUCCUUUACACAUACUGACUCAUUUAUUCUUCUUACCAAUCCUAUGAGGUAGGUACUAUUUUGUCUCCAAUUUUGCAGAUGGGAAGUAGAGUCACAGAAAGGUCAAGUAUAUUGCCCAGUGUAUCUCACAGGUGGGCAGGGGAAAGAACAAGAACAUUAACUUCGGCAGUGUCAGGUUGUCAAGGGUAAAAGGCACUUUUGUUAUUUUACACUUGUUUUGUAACACUCCAGAGGGCACAACCAGGACCAAUGUGCAUAAACUACAAGGAGGCAGAUUUCAGCUCAAAGGGGGAAAAAAAAAACACUGAAUGAUUAGAACUGUCUGAAAUUUCACUGGAGUAUCUCUUAAGGUAGUGAGUCCUCCAUCACAGGAUGUGAGGAAAAAAAGGAUAAAAAUGAAGAAUGAAUAAAUGGGGCUCCUCUCGGAAAGAAACCAUACAAAUGAUGAAGCCAACCCUUGGUGAAAAGAAUAAAGAAGGUAGAGUGAAACUUGGUUUAAAAGACACAUGUCGGGCUUCCCUGGUGGCGCAGUGGUUGAGAGUCCGCCUGCCGAUGCAGGGGACGCGGGUUCGUGCCCCGGUCUGGGAGGAUCCCACAUGCCGCGGAGCGGCUGGGCCCGUGAGCCAUGGCCGCUGAGCCUGCGUGUCCGGAGCCUGUCCUCCGCAACGGGAGAGGCCACAACAGUGAGAGGCCCGCGUAACGCAU
This 1143-nucleotide long non-coding RNA is filed under the name Phocoena sinus (vaquita). Its description in RNAcentral is "lncRNA (ENSPSNG00000015567.1)". Lineage: Eukaryota; Metazoa; Chordata; Mammalia; Artiodactyla; Phocoenidae. The record is from RNAcentral.